RNAcentral lists this long non-coding RNA (768 nucleotides) under Ailuropoda melanoleuca (giant panda). RNAcentral describes it as "lncRNA (ENSAMEG00000030232.1)". Lineage: Eukaryota; Metazoa; Chordata; Mammalia; Carnivora; Ursidae. The record is from RNAcentral.
AUGACGAUGCCAUACUUAAUUUCUUGCUUAGCUACCUCUAAUUUGUGUUCCCAUAGCCAUAGGGCUGCCUAUAGAAAGGAAGAGAGACAGCUCAGAUCCUCGGAGUCCAGCACUAGUGAGUUCCCAAGACCCAUCUCAGCUCUGCCCACACUUGUCCACCUGUCCAGCGCUAUGAGGGGCCUUGUGGCUGCUGGCUUUACCCUCCUCUGCACCACAGGCCCACGGCUCCUAUGCACAAGGUUCAAAAAGACGGAGCGCCUGGGUGGCACAGCGGUUAAGCGUCUGCCUUCAGCUCAGGGCGUGAUCCCGGCGUUACGGGAUCGAGCCCCACAUCAGGCUCCUCUACUGGGAGCCUGCUUCUUCCUCUCCCACUCCCCCUGCUUGUGUUCCCUCUCUCGCUGGCUGUCUCUAUCUCUGUCAAAUAAAUAAAUAAAAUCUUUUUUUUAAAAACUUCAAAAAGAGCUUGUUGAUCUGGGCUGCAGAAUGGGAGUUAGGAGAGGUUUGAUCCUACUUUUCAGACGAGAUCACUAAAGCCUAGCUUAUUGGGUUAUUAAUAUGCAGUAGAAUCUUGGUCUAUUUAGAUCCUAUUGCUGCUGAUAAGUUUUAGAAGAAUUAUAAAAUUGUUCCUACUUUCACUCAAUAUCUGUAUGAUUUAAUGGAUUCGAAAAAAAAAAUUUCCCCCAAAGGAAGUUAGGAAAAGGGAGUAGACUCUCUAUGGGCUGAUUCCUUGUGGAGUAAGUCAGAACUCAAAAUAGUCAAAAGCAGCGA